This is a long non-coding RNA of Mesocricetus auratus (golden hamster), 628 nucleotides long. RefSeq lists it as uncharacterized. The transcript is spliced from 2 exons. NCBI's taxonomy places the organism in Eukaryota, Metazoa, Chordata, Mammalia, Rodentia, Cricetidae. The record is from RefSeq and is a predicted model, not a curated record.
CCUGCCCCGCCUCGCCCCGCCCCCUCCGGAAGCUCAGCCGCUGCUUGCUCGCGUGUCAACCUGACACUUGGCCUGGCUUUUGCUCUUCCAGCGUGGGCGCUCUGAAGCUUGGGGGUGGGCGUGACCCCUGUGGCAGCCCCCAGCGAGCCUUCUUCACCUUUAUCGCGUGGUUCCCAGCAUCUCUCUUAGCCCCAGCCACCCGACGGUGUCCUGGGAGGCUCCCAAUAAAGAUGGGGUAAUUCUCCUGGAGUCCAGAGCAGUGGGCCCCGCGGGCCUGAAAUCACGCGUGGAGAGUGAAGUUAGAGACAAGAUCUCUGCCGGAGAAGAGAAGUGCGCCACAACUGGAGUUACCCAGACCAUCAUGGGUCUCUUCUGCAUGGGAAGUGAGGUACAGAGAACCUGUCACAUACCUGCCAUUACAACAGAAACAGCACCAAGAUACUGCCCAUCCUUUCUGCCCAGUGGGGCAGGCUGCUAUGCCCAAAAGUGAGGCUCAUGUCAAUCCUUCCCAAACGGUGAGGGAUAAACACGUUUGUAGUUGUGAUGAAGUGAUCCUACACUCCUGGUGGAACAGGGAAAGGCCUGGCCAUGACAAAACCCCUGGGAACAAUAAAGUUAGAAGAAGAAA